UCACAAGCUUCGCUCUUUCUAGAAGGCUGAAUCGGAGCAACUCACCUGAUCAAAUUGCAAAAUUCAAGAAAAUUGUCAUCCCAAAUUUAUACAGUGGUUAUGAUUCUAGCAUCAUUACGGUCCGUAACAAAACAAGCCCCAAGUUCGUCUGGAAAUAAAGAUGCGAAUUGCCCCC
Molecule: long non-coding RNA, 175 nt
Organism: Rhipicephalus sanguineus (brown dog tick)
Lineage: Eukaryota; Metazoa; Arthropoda; Arachnida; Ixodida; Ixodidae
Exons: 3
Source: RefSeq, a predicted model, not a curated record